Molecule: long non-coding RNA, 2717 nt
Organism: Biomphalaria glabrata
Lineage: Eukaryota; Metazoa; Mollusca; Gastropoda; Planorbidae
Exons: 2
Source: RefSeq, a predicted model, not a curated record
GACACCUUAUUUAUAUAGGUUAGUUAUUUUAGUUAUUUAGCGACGCACCAUAGUAGACGCAUAUUGAACGGGACUAGUGACGUUUGGGAUAUGUUGGGUUAGAGACCGGAAAAUCAGUUAGCGUUAGAACACUCCAGGGUAACGACGUGUUUAGUGACAGAGACUUCUACUGUGGCCUUUUAUCAUAAUAAAUAUAUAUUAACUUGUUCAUCAUCGUUGACUACAUCUCUUCACCUGUUACAAUUGAUGUGCCAGUUCUUGUUUGUGUUGUUGGUCAACUACACGUAAUACACCCGAACAAUUACACCCAAACGAUUGCAGAGUAAUUGGUUGACUUCAAGACAGCCUGAACUAGCAACAUCACAGUGGCGACCCCGAACCUCGAAGCCCGACGAACAUCGAACCGGACCUCGAAGCAGAACGUUUACUCAGGUGAGGGUCGUGCACUCGAAGUUAUAAGAUUUCAUCGGAGUACGGCUGAACACAGCAGCAUCGCAGAGUGACUUUGUUCUGGAUCUACAUACAGUCGUCGCCUGUUUGAUCGCACGUUCAACGAGCCGUUAACUCAGGGUGACCUUCGUCAGGACCGUAAUCAUCGCAACGCCUGAUCUUCAUAUGCUGAACCGACCUACAACCAGAGAAACCGUUCAUUCAUAACGGGUGAGAGAUCGUUAGUGAACCUGUUGGACAUAUUUUUUCUUCGUCAUAGGAGCCACAUUGAGUAUCAAGUUUUACCUCGUCAGUUUCGAGAAGGACAGUUUGCCCGCUGUCAGAAGUAUUGUGAGUACUACAAGUUUGGUAGCUAACUAAAUCGAAAUCGCUCUGUCGUCUUACCCUUGGAGAGAUUCUUGUGGAGCAGUUUGCUCAUUGAACCGGUUGCUUGCCACGUUUAUAACGGUCACUGUGUUUAACCUUUGGAAGGUUAGUGAAGUAAUCUUUAUCAGUACUGAACAUUGAUCUAUCUAGUAUUCGUCGGUCUAGACCAUACCUAGACUUGUUAGCAGUGAAGUUGUGGAAACAGCUACAUCCACUUAAUUUCGUUGAAAACCGUUAGUCGUAUAACGGAACGUCGUCGGAGGUGACCUUGGUCUCACCUAGUCUACAUUGGACAGUUUGGUCUAGUGAAGCAGAGUACAACAGCAAACUUCGUCGUACUACCAGAGUAGCAGCAGAAGCAGUGAACUAUUUUAGAGAACCGUUAUUCGUCAGCCCAGAUCAAGUCAUCGUCGAGAAAGUCGUUAUUCGUCAGCCCAGAUCAAGUCAUCGUCAAGAAAGCCGUUAUUCGUCAGCCCAGAUCAAGUCAUCGUCAAGAAAUUCAUUAUUCGUCAGUCGUCCAGAUCAAGUUGCCGUCAAGAGACUGUUAUUUGUCAGUAGUCAUCUACACAAGUCAAGUCAUCGCCAGAAGAACCGUUAACCUAUUCGUCAGUAACUGUGUACACAAAGUCGUCGGAACUACACAUACGGUCAUCAACAGUCGUCGAAGAAACUGGAACAUUUUGCUGUGGCAUAUCAGGACAUCUGUGGCAUUACGUGGGAUACUGGUAGCACCGGAGAGCAGAGUCAGAACUGGAAGAGAGGCAGUGGAAUUUGUUGUGAUCUAACAUAUUCGGGAGUCCGAACAAAGGGAUCUUUCUUAUCAAAAGCUAAGUGCCAUUUUUCUUAUUAGUAUAUGUUUAGAUUGCCCUUAGAAAUAGAUUUUGUCUAAAUUUGGUACGUUAGCCUGAGUAAAAUCAGGUGGUGCGCCUUAAAACCCGUCGGGGUAGAAGACGUAAUUUAGAUGAAAAGCUAUAUUAUACGUUUAGGAUUGUAAUUUGUUUUGUUUGUGUAAACGUCAUAUCCGUUGUUGCCUGGUUACUUCGUGACGUUAUCAUUGUGUGCCAUAUUGUCACAUCCCAACCCAUAGUGAUAGUCUCAUUUAAUUAUUUCAUUUGUUUAUAUUAUUUUAAAUUAUUUAUUUUUAUUAAUUUAAUUAGAUCUGUAUUUUUUUUUUCACUUAAUGAUAGAAAGUGCGGGUAGGAUUCUUUCAUUGUGAAUCAGACUAAAAUAAUUUUAGUUUGAGCGGUUAAAAUCAAAUAUGAUUUUGCCAUGAGAAUAAUGCCGAAACUGGCUAUGUAGUCAAACACUAUCGUCUGGCUAAAUUUAGAUCUGCAAAUUGUUGUACAUCUCUUUGGUACAAUUUAAUCAUCUAGACUCUAAUUUGAAAUAUUAUUAAUUGAAAGAUGAAUGAAGAUUACUGCCAGUGAAGAACAUUUGAGAUGUGUAGGACAUGCCCAUAAGAUGCCACAUUUUCCUCCAUGAUGAACGGUGUACCAAUGAAGAUGAUUUUGGAAUGUUAUGAACUGUUAUGAACAUUGAAUAUGAGGAACUGUCAAGAUGAAGAUGUCAAGAUGAAGAUGUCAAGAUUUUAUGUUUGUGGUCUUCCCCUUAAAUUGAAAAUGCCCUUGUAAGACUUGACAGUAGUGGAAAAAUAUUGACAUAUUUUUUUUUCAAGGGGGGGAGGAAUCUGUUAGACACCUUAUUUAUAUAGGUUAGUUAUUUUAGUUAUUUAGCGACGCACCAUAGUAGACGCAUAUUGAACGGGACUAGUGACGUUUGGGAUAUGUUGGGUUAGAGACCGGAAAAUCAGUUAGCGUUAGAACACUCCAGGGUAACGACGUGUUUAGUGACAGAGACUUCUACUGUGGCCUUUUAUCAUAAUAAAUAUAUAUUAACUUGUU